GAACUUGAUUUGUUCAAAGAAAAGGCUUUUGUAUUCAAGGUCCAAGUCAAGACAGAAUUCUUCAAUUACACGGAGCAGACAAACAUACAAGUAAAUCGGCUGGUUACAGAUGAUGCACUCAUAAAGUCCUUUUUGGAUAAAUACAAGAUAGAAGAGUGCCCUUCCCAAAGUGGUUCUUAUGAAAUAUUGGAUGAUGAUCAUGAAACAAAUGACACAACCAAGAUUAGCAAUGCACCCAAACAAAGUGAAGAAGACUCAUCAUUUGUUAGAACUCCACCCUCAAC
Long non-coding RNA from Lotus japonicus, 284 nucleotides. RefSeq lists it as uncharacterized. The transcript is spliced from 3 exons. NCBI's taxonomy places the organism in Eukaryota, Viridiplantae, Streptophyta, Magnoliopsida, Fabales, Fabaceae. The record is from RefSeq and is a predicted model, not a curated record.